UGGAAUGUUGUGAAUAUUCUC
RNAcentral lists this microRNA (21 nucleotides) under Haemonchus contortus (barber pole worm). RNAcentral describes it as "hco-miR-5986". Lineage: Eukaryota; Metazoa; Nematoda; Chromadorea; Rhabditida; Trichostrongylidae. The record is from miRBase by way of RNAcentral.